AAUCCGUUGGCGGCAUGCGUAACACAUGCAAGUCGGACGGCAGCGCAGUACCGCUUGCUUCUUGGGUGGCGAGUGGCGAACGGGUGAGUAACAUAUCGGAACGUACCGAGUAAUGGGGGAUAACUAAUCGAAAGAUUAGCUAAUACCUGAAUAUUUUCUGAGGAGGAAAGCAGGGGACCUUCGGGCCUUGCGUUAUAUGACGCGGCCGAUAUCUGAUUAGCUAGUUGGUGGGGUAAAGGCCUACCAAGGCGACGAUCAGUAGCGGGUCUGAGAGGAUGAUCCGCCACACUGGGACUGAGACACGGCCCAGACUCCUACGGGAGUGUGACAGUGGGGAAUUUUGGACAAUGGGCGCAAGCCUGAUUCAGCCAUGCCGCGACUGUGAAGAAGGCCUUCGGGUUUAGCAGGACUUUUGUCAGGGAAGAAAAGGAAUGCUUAAUACCUCUGCGUACGACAGAAACUGAAGAAUAAGCACCGGCUAACUACGUUACCUCGAUGAACUA
RNAcentral lists this ribosomal RNA (503 nucleotides) under uncultured bacterium. RNAcentral's name for it is "bacterial SSU rRNA". It matches the Rfam family "Bacterial small subunit ribosomal RNA", at positions 34 to 525 of the family's 1533-position model. The record is from RNAcentral.